UGAGGAACAUGACCUUCGGCGGGGGAUAGCCGGCCCAACGGCCGGGUAAUACCGCGUACGACCACUUUGGGACAUCCCUCGGUGGUGAAAGCAGCAAUGCGCCGAUGGAGUGCCUCGCGGCCUAUCAGCUAGUUGGUGAGGUAACGGCUCACCAGGGNACGACGGGUAGCUGGUCUGAGAGGAUGGCCAGCCACAUUGGGACUGAGACACGGCCCAGACUCCUACGGGAGCA
Molecule: ribosomal RNA, 232 nt
Filed under: uncultured bacterium
Lineage: Bacteria
Description: partial 16S ribosomal RNA
Rfam family: Bacterial small subunit ribosomal RNA
Source: RNAcentral